UACGAAGGGGGCUAGCGUUGUUCGGAAUUACUGGGCGUAAAGCGCGCGCAGGCGGCUAUCCAAGUCAGUGGUGAAAGCCCGGAGCUCAACUCCGGAACUGCCAUUGAAACUGUUUAGCUUGAGGACGAGAGAGGUGAGUGGAAUUCCCAGUGUAGAGGUGAAAUUCGUAGAUAUUGGGAAGAACACCAGUGGCGAAGGCGGCUCACUGGCUCGUAUCUGACGCUCAGGCGCGAUAGCGUGGGGAUCAAACAGGAUUAGAUACCCUGGUAGUCCACGCCGUAAACGAUGAAUGCCAGCCGUUGGGCAGCUUGCUGUUCAGUGGCGCAGCUAACGCAUUAAGCAUUCCGCCUGGGGAGUACGGCCGCAAGGUUGAA
Molecule: ribosomal RNA, 374 nt
Filed under: uncultured bacterium
Lineage: Bacteria
Description: bacterial SSU rRNA
Rfam family: Bacterial small subunit ribosomal RNA
Source: RNAcentral